ACCAGCGCAGCUCAGAACGGUGCCUGCAAAUUCCAAAGCGAGCUCCACUGAUAAGAACCAAGAAACCACCAAUUUGCAGGCUGCGACGACGAGGAAACAAAAUAAGAAGAAAACGAGGAAACCCAUCGGCACAGAAAUUGGAAGUAUCGCUGCAGCAACUGGUAACACUAACGCAUAUCGCCGCAACAAAAUGCAGGAUCCGAGUUUAGGAACCGCGCUCGAUGGCUUCCACUGGUCGAAAUGCAGACAUAGGAAUAAGAAAAAAAAUAUGCGUGCGCGUAUGAGAACCAGAACCACUCAGGAUCCAGGCCAGCACAAACGGCACACAAGCGCAGAGGGAGAAAAGCGAGGAGAGCCGGCGACCAGCCGA
Molecule: unclassified non-coding RNA, 370 nt
Filed under: Zea mays
Lineage: Eukaryota; Viridiplantae; Streptophyta; Magnoliopsida; Poales; Poaceae
Description: misc RNA Zm00001eb084170
Source: RNAcentral